Molecule: ribosomal RNA, 409 nt
Filed under: Bacillota bacterium
Lineage: Bacteria; Bacillati; Bacillota
Description: Firmicutes bacterium partial 16S ribosomal RNA
Rfam family: Bacterial small subunit ribosomal RNA
Source: RNAcentral
UGGGGAAUAUUGCACAAUGGGCGAAAGCCUGAUGCAGCGACGCCGCGUGAGGGAUGACGGCCUUCGGGUUGUAAACCUCUUUCAGCAGGGACGAAGCGCAAGUGACGGUACCUGCAGAAGAAGCACCGGCUAACUACGUGCCAGCAGCCGCGGUAAUACGUAGGGUGCAAGCGUCGUCCGGAAUUACUGGGCGUAAAGAGUUCGUAGGCGGUUUGUCGCGUCGUUUGUGAAAACCAGCAGCUCAACUGCUGGCUUGCAGGCGAUACGGGCAGACUUGAGUACUCCAGGGGAGACUGGAAUUCCUGGUGUAGCGGUGAAAUGCGCAGAUAUCAGGAGGAACACCGGUGGCGAAGGCGGGUCUCUGGGCAGUAACUGACGCUGAGGAACGAAAGCGUGGGUAGCGAACAGG